GACGUAGGGCGCAAGCGUUGUCCGGAUUUAUUGGGCGUAAAGAGCUCGUAGGCGGCUUGUUGCGUCGGCUGUGAAAACCCGUGGCUUAACUGCGGGCUUGCAGCCGAUACGGGCGGGCUGGAGUUCGGAAGAGGGUCGUGGAAUUCCCAGUGUAGAGGUGAAAUGCGCAGAUAUCGGGAGGAACACCAAUGGCGAAGGCAGCUCGCUGGGACGUUACUGACGCUGAGACGCGAAAGCGUGGGGAGCAAACAGG
This 253-nucleotide ribosomal RNA is filed under the name uncultured bacterium. RNAcentral describes it as "partial 16S ribosomal RNA". It matches the Rfam family "Bacterial small subunit ribosomal RNA", at positions 524 to 776 of the family's 1533-position model. The record is from RNAcentral.